RNAcentral lists this ribosomal RNA (1035 nucleotides) under Triticum aestivum (bread wheat). RNAcentral's name for it is "partial small subunit ribosomal RNA". Lineage: Eukaryota; Viridiplantae; Streptophyta; Magnoliopsida; Poales; Poaceae. The record is from RNAcentral.
AUGGCGGCGAGCAACCUCGAGGGUGUGCUCCUGGGGAUGGGAAACCCCCUUCUCGACAUCUCCGCCGUCGUCGACGAGGCCUUCCUCGCUAAGUAUGAUGUGAAGCCGAACAAUGCCAUUCUUGCCGAGGACAAGCACUUGCCCAUGUACGAUGAGUUGUCCAGCAAGGACAAUGUUGAAUAUAUUGCUGGAGGAGCCACGCAGAACUCUAUCAGGGUUGCCCAAUGGAUGCUUCAAACUCCUGGUGCAACAAGUUACAUGGGUUGCAUUGGAAAGGACAAGUAUGGUGAGGAGAUGAAGAGCGCCGCUAAAGCUGCAGGAGUUACUGCUCAUUACUAUGAGGAUGAGGCUGCUCCUACAGGCACAUGUGCUGUCUGUGUUGUUGGUGGCGAAAGGUCAUUGAUUGCAAACUUAUCUGCUGCGAACUGCUACAAAUCUGAGCAUCUAAAGAGGCCAGAGAACUGGGCACUAGUUGAGAAAGCGAAAUACAUCUACAUUGCUGGCUUUUUCCUUACGGUGUCCCCUGAAUCUAUUCAGCUUGUUGCUGAGCAUGCUGCUGCAAAUAACAAGGUUUUCUUGAUGAACCUCUCCGCUCCCUUUAUCUGUGAGUUUUUCCGUGAUGCCCAAGAGAAGGUUCUUCCGUAUUCUGACUACAUCUUUGGAAAUGAAACCGAGGCAAGGAUCUUCUCUAAAGUCCGAGGGUGGGAGACUGAGAAUGUCGAGGAGAUCGCUUUGAAGAUCUCACAACUGCCUCUGGCUUCUGGAAAACAAAAGAGGAUUGCUGUGAUUACUCAGGGUGCUGAUCCAGUAGUUGUGGCUGAGGAUGGGAAGGUAAAAACAUUCCCUGUGAUCCUAUUGCCCAAGGAGAAGCUUGUUGACACCAAUGGCGCUGGUGAUGCGUUUGUUGGCGGCUUCCUCUCUCAGUUGGUUCAAGGGAAGAGCAUCGAGGACUGCGUAAAGGCCGGUUGCUACGCAGCAAACGUUAUCAUCCAGCAAUCUGGCUGCACUUACCCUGAGAAGCCUGACUUCAACUAG